UUUAAGUGCAAUUGUAAGUUUCCGUGUCCAACAUUUAACUGUCUUUCUUAUUAAUUUUUUUUAAGAUUAAUAUUUUUAUCGUUAUUAGAUGAUAAACAUGAAUAAUACUUUAUAUGCGACUUAUUUUUUUAAAUUUUUUUAUAAAAUUUUUAAAUAAGAUGGACGGUCAAACAUUUGACACGGAAAUCCACAACUGCAUUUAAA
Molecule: non-coding RNA, 204 nt
Organism: Oryza meridionalis
Lineage: Eukaryota; Viridiplantae; Streptophyta; Magnoliopsida; Poales; Poaceae
Source: Rfam